GAGUUUGAUCAUGGCUCAGAUUGAACGCUGGCGGCAGGCCUAACACAUGCAAGUCGAACGGUAACAGGAAGAAGCUUGCUUCUUUGCUGACGAGUGGCGGACGGGUGAGUAAUGUCUGGGAAACUGCCUGAUGGAGGGGGAUAACUACUGGAAACGGUAGCUAAUACCGCAUAACGUCGCAAGACCAAAGAGGGGGACCUUCGGGCCUCUUGCCAUCGGAUGUGCCCAGAUGGGAUUAGCUAGUAGGUGGGGUAACGGCUCACCUAGGCGACGAUCCCUAGCUGGUCUGAGAGGAUGACCAGCCACACUGGAACUGAGACACGGUCCAGACUCCUACGGGAGGCAGCAGUGGGGAAUAUUGCACAAUGGGCGCAAGCCUGAUGCAGCCAUGCCGCGUGUAUGAAGAAGGCCUUCGGGUUGUAAAGUACUUUCAGCGGGGAGGAAGGGAGUAAAGUUAAUACCUUUGCUCAUUGACGUUACCCGCAGAAGAAGCACCGGCUAACUCCGUGCCAGCAGCCGCGGUAAUACGGAGGGUGCAAGCGUUAAUCGGAAUUACUGGGCGUAAAGCGCACGCAGGCGGUUUGUUAAGUCAGAUGUGAAAUCCCCGGGCUCAACCUGGGAACUGCAUCUGAUACUGGCAAGCUUGAGUCUCGUAGAGGGGGGUAGAAUUCCAGGUGUAGCGGUGAAAUGCGUAGAGAUCUGGAGGAAUACCGGUGGCGAAGGCGGCCCCCUGGACGAAGACUGACGCUCAGGUGCGAAAGCGUGGGGAGCAAACAGGAUUAGAUACUCUGGUAGUCCACGCCGUAAACGAUGUCGACUUGGAGGUUGUGCCCUUGAGGCGUGGCUUCCGGAGCUAACGCGUUAAGUCGACCGCCUGGGGAGUACGGCCGCAAGGUUAAAACUCAAAUGAAUUGACGGGGGCCCGCACAAGCGGUGGAGCAUGUGGUUUAAUUCGAUGCAACGCGAAGAACCUUACCUGGUCUUGACAUCCACGGAAGUUUUCAGAGAUGAGAAUGUGCCUUCGGGAACCGUGAGACAGGUGUUGCAUGGCUGUCGUCAGCUCGUGUUGUGAAAUGUUGGGUUAAGUCCCGCAACGAGCGCAACCCUUAUCCUUUGUUGCCAGCGGUCCGGCCGGGAACUCAAAGGAGACUGCCAGUGAUAAACUGGAGGAAGGUGGGGAUGACGUCAAGUCAUCAUGGCCCUUACGACCAGGGCUACACACGUGCUACAAUGGCGCAUACAAAGAGAAGCGACCUCGCGAGAGCAAGCGGACCUCAUAAAGUGCGUCGUAGUCCGGAUUGGAGUCUGCAACUCGACUCCAUGAAGUCGGAAUCGCUAGUAAUCGUGGAUCAGAAUGCCACGGUGAAUACGUUCCCGGGCCUUGUACACACCGCCCGUCACACCAUGGGAGUGGGUUGCAAAAGAAGUAGGUAGCUUAACCUUCGGGAGGGCGCUUACCACUUUGUGAUUCAUGACUGGGGUGAAGUCGAAACAAGGUA
RNAcentral lists this ribosomal RNA (1499 nucleotides) under metagenome. RNAcentral's name for it is "bacterial SSU rRNA". It matches the Rfam family "Bacterial small subunit ribosomal RNA". The record is from RNAcentral.